Molecule: non-coding RNA, 3219 nt
Organism: Triticum urartu
Lineage: Eukaryota; Viridiplantae; Streptophyta; Magnoliopsida; Poales; Poaceae
Source: RefSeq, a predicted model, not a curated record
CAAGGCAGGACGCAGAAGUAGUACUUCCUUCGAGCCCUCCCCUCCCCUCGCGUCGCCCCCUCUAGGGCGACUCGGGGGCUCCAAACCCUAGCCCCGCCGCCGCCCCCUCCCUCCCCCCUCCCCCCUCGCCGCCGCCUGAGGCUGCCCCCGGGCAAGCCCGGGGCGCAGCCAAGGAAGGUGGCGGCGGGGCCUUCGCUACUCUGCAUCUGCUGCAGGGGGCUGCGUGCUCCGGGGCGGCGGCCCUAGUUGGAGUGGCGUCACCGGCCAUCGACAGGCGGUGGCGCGGGCGUGGACCGGCGACCUCGGCCGUGGGGAGAGCGGGCGAACCGGAGGACGUGAGCCAGGGCGGGCCGGCAACCUUGGUUGUUUGCGGCACCAGAUCUGGCCGCCCCUACAUCCUCUGUCUCUGGAUGAGCCAUGCCACGGCCCGAUCUGGUUUGCUUCGUCGUGGGCGCCGGUUCUCGUGUUGUUGGGGAGUGGUUGGCGGGGACGUGAAGACCGGGAGAAAUCUCAUGCCGGCCUUGCUGGUCUCGACGGCGGCGACGCCCGCGGGCGCCGCUCCCCUCCUUGGAGGCGCCGCCUGGGUAUGUUCCUCUGUCCCCUCCCCCUCCUUGCCUCCCAGGAGAAAUCCUCAAUGUUGUUGGGCGGCGGCGGUGCCCUUGGCGUCGCACCCUUCCUGAAGGCGCCGUUUUUGGGAGCUAGGUGGGCGUGGGGUUUCUCGGAGAUAUGUUUCGUGUGCAGCGGCGGCGGUAGCUGACCUCCCACGACGACGGCGACUUCCUAAGUGACUAUUUCGGGAGCUCUCCGGUCUGUUGCGGGGUGCCCUGCCUGGCCCGUGGUUCCUCCUGGGCGAGAGGGGAUCGGGUUCCCCUCCUACGGCGGCCCCUCUCAGCGCACCUUGAGAGCUUUCCGGUACCCGCACUUCGGUUCUCAAUGUCUUAUGCAGCCUACCGGCAACUAUCUCCCAGGUUCUAGGGUGAACUGCUCUCUUGUCAACGGUGCGGCGCCAUUCGAGCCAGGCGAGGAGGCAGGGGCCUUCUUUGACAUUGGAGCUAGGCGGAUGUGUUGGGUCGGGGCUGCUGGCGAUUAGGUGAUAGCGUGUCCUGCUUCGUCGCUGGACGUGUUGAUCCAGUGCGGGCAUUCUACUUCUUCCACGGUGUUCUGAUCACGUUGAGGACCUCUUCAUCGUCGAGCGGUGCUUCUCCCUGAUGAUCUUUUUAGCUUGGUGUGUAGGAGGCUUGUGAGCUGCUUUCCAGCGCCUUUGUAUCUUGUCGUUUUCUUUUCUUUCUUGUGCUGGUUCCGAGUUUAUAAUCCUGACCGGUUGAUGGCUUUGUUAAUUCAAAGCCGGGCUCUUCUUGAGCCUUUGUUUUAAAAAAAAACAAGGCAGGACGCAGACCAAAUAAGAAAAUUAAAUGUCUAUUCAAUACUUGUACCUCUCCAUUGCCAUCUAGUAAUUAGGUGUCUUCUAACUCUCUAGGCCACAUGUAGAUAUGUCCUGUGCCGCUCUUGGACUUGAAGCCCUGGUACCCACAGGGCAGAGAUGUCCUGCAUCCAGCCAGAGCUGCUGCAAACGCAACCCCUCACCAUACUUCAAGUUUAAGUUUAAGUUUGGAGAACCUGAUACACGGAGCUCUCUUAGUUUAAGAAGGUUGAGACCCUCUCGAGGACGUCACAUCCAGUGACUACAAGCAUCUGAGAGAGGAAUGGGAGGUCCUCCAACAUGCUCAAGCACCUUGUUCCUCUUAAAUAGAGCGACUUCAAGCUAAUUGCCUCCUGUCCAAGCUGUCAUGGGAGAGCUCUUAGCUCCCGGCAGCCUUUGAGUACCGAGCAUUUCAAGCUUCGCUGCUUCGGAGCAUGUGGAUCCUUGGGGACAGGGCUUCCCUUUUUCGCAUCUUAGCAGAUCCAUCGUCUUCCCCUUCCGUAGCUGUUGUUGAUGCUGACCAUUGAAGUGUGCGCUCCUUGAAGUCGUCCGCUGCAAGUCGUCGGUGUCUCGCUGCCAUUCAAAGCAUGAUUUUUGCUGGAUUUCCUUCGCCAAACAAUGGGGUCAAUCAAAAUUAUUUGGUGGCUAAUUGAACCAAUCUAGUGGAUGGAUCUGAAAACUCAAAAACUGGAAGCCUAUGGAGUUUGAUCUAGAACCGAUCCAAUCUUUGAUUGACCGGAUGUCGUGCCCAGAGGCUAGAGAUUAAUCUCCCCUGGGACGGCACACUGUGGAAGUGAUGGAGAAACCUAGAAUCAGCCCCGUUGGACUAACCGCUAUAAUACCAUCAAUGGCGGAGCUACGUGUUACCAAAACAAGCCAUGGCCCGCCCAGCCCACAGCAAAUACAGUGGAGGACUGAGAGUAUAAUGGGCCUUGAGGGCAAAACUAAUGGGCUUCCUUUUACUGGCCCGCCCAGUUUCCCUGAUGUAGCUCCACCACUGAAUACCAUGUAGAAUUGUAGGAUGGCUAAACAUUUCUGUUGUAUUGUGUUGUAUUGAUCUGAUCCUUGUAGGGUAGAGUACAAUGUGGGGAGAGGAUGGGAGUACAAGGCAAGUCAUUGUUACCAAAUAUAUCUCUUAUCUCUCCUUAUCUCUAACUAACACGUUUAUACUUCUAACACUACGCCGCUGGCUAGCAGUCCACAGAGGCGAUUCCCAGGCGUGGAGGCGACGGACGCGAGGAGGCUACGGGGCGGUCGUGGUGUUCUUCGCCGGUUCCGAUGCCGUCGACUGUCUAGGAGUUGAGGUGGACCUUCUUACGCCAUCUCCAAGGUCAGCUGGCUCGGUUCGGGGCAAAAACGGACCUCUGCGGCCAUCAGGCAGAGCUACAGGACGACGGGCUCGUCGGCGGUGAAAAAACUGAUUUUGGCACCGGCGAGCGACGAGAAGGCGGAAGAGGGCAGCGGGGCUGCGGGAUGGCCGCGUGGAACAGUUUCGGCGCAGGGGUCUGGAUGGGGGCAACGGCAGGGGCGACACUGACGCGCCGAGAGGAACAAUGCAUGGGUGGCCGACUAUACUGAGAAGCUGCGGCUUUGGGGGAUGAAAAGCUAUUUAUUUUUUAGGGGUUAAUAGAUCUGAGGGAUCUGCUAGCUAGGCUUUAAUCCCUCAAAACAAAAUUAACUUCUAGGGCAUUUGCUAGAGAUGCUUUUAUAAGCCAAACUCUAAAAAGCAAAGUUCAGCCGAGAGAAUCUGGAAAUGCCCUAUUCUGAUCGAAAUUCCAAGUGGGCCUCAUUUCUUUUCA